AUUGAACGCUGGCGGCAGGCCUAACACAUGCAAGUCGAGCGGAUGAAGGGAGCUUGCUCCUGGAUUCAGCGGCGGACGGGUGAGUAAUGCCUAGGAAUCUGCCUGGUAGUGGGGGAUAACGUCCGGAAACGGGCGCUAAUACCGCAUACGUCCUGAGGGAGAAAGUGGGGGAUCUUCGGACCUCACGCUAUCAGAUGAGCCUAGGUCGGAUUAGCUAGUUGGUGGGGUAAAGGCCUACCAAGGCGACGAUCCGUAACUGGUCUGAGAGGAUGAUCAGUCACACUGGAACUGAGGAACGGUCCAGACUCCUACGGGAGGCAGCAGUGGGGAAUAUUGGGCCAUGGGCGAAAGCCUGAUUCAGCCAAGGCGCGUGUGUGAAGAAGGUCUUCGGAUUGUAAAGCCCUUUAAGUUGGGAGGAAGGGCAGUAAGUUAAUACCUUGCUGUUUUGACGUUACCAACAGAAUAAGCACCGGCUAACUUCGUG
This 484-nucleotide ribosomal RNA is filed under the name uncultured bacterium. Its description in RNAcentral is "partial 16S ribosomal RNA". It matches the Rfam family "Bacterial small subunit ribosomal RNA", at positions 30 to 507 of the family's 1533-position model. The record is from RNAcentral.